This 262-nucleotide unclassified non-coding RNA is filed under the name uncultured Marasmius. Its description in RNAcentral is "sequence contains ITS2". The record is from RNAcentral. Lineage: Eukaryota; Fungi; Basidiomycota; Agaricomycetes; Agaricales; Tricholomataceae.
AAUUCUCAACUUCAAAAGCUUUUGUUUUUGAAGCUUGGAUGUGGAGGCCUGCUGGCUCUUCUAGAGUCGGCUCCUCUGAAAUGCAUUAGUGGAAACUGUUUGUAGUCCGCAUUGGUGUGAUAAUUAUCUACGCUUCUGUGUGUCUACAGCUCUGUAGUGCUCGUUUGGGAAGCUGCAUUAAGUUGCUCUUUCUGUUCACAAUGACCUGCAUGAGUCUAGUAUCUGCUUCAAACCGUCCUAAGUUACUGGACAACUUUGAACC